UAUAGCAAUUGUGGUUCCGGAACAUUGUUCCGGACAAUAGGGAACCGGGUGAAAAUCCCGGGCAGACCCGCUGCUGUAAUUCCUCGCGUCAGAUUUAGACUCUGACACUUCCGGGUGCUUCAUGCCACUGAUUUUUUCGGGAAGGCGCACACCGGUAAGAGGAUAAGCCAGAAGACCUGCCACAGUUGU
RNAcentral lists this non-coding RNA (189 nucleotides) under human gut metagenome. The record is from RNAcentral.